AGAGGCCGGAAUAGCUCAGUUGGUAGAGCAGAGGACUGAAAAUCCUCGUGUCACCAGUUCA
This 61-nucleotide transfer RNA is filed under the name Hygroamblystegium tenax. RNAcentral's name for it is "Amblystegium tenax partial tRNA-Phe". It matches the Rfam family "tRNA", at positions 1 to 55 of the family's 71-position model. Rfam says of the family: Transfer RNA (tRNA) molecules are approximately 80 nucleotides in length. Their secondary structure includes four short double-helical elements and three loops (D, anti-codon, and T loops). The record is from RNAcentral. Lineage: Eukaryota; Viridiplantae; Streptophyta; Bryopsida; Hypnales; Amblystegiaceae.